Non-coding RNA from Schistosoma rodhaini, 45 nucleotides. Lineage: Eukaryota; Metazoa; Platyhelminthes; Trematoda; Strigeidida; Schistosomatidae. The record is from Rfam.
AUCCAGCUGACGAGUCUCUAUUAGGACGAAACGCACGUCAUGUAU